This 468-nucleotide ribosomal RNA is filed under the name uncultured bacterium. RNAcentral describes it as "partial 16S ribosomal RNA". It matches the Rfam family "Bacterial small subunit ribosomal RNA", at positions 28 to 507 of the family's 1533-position model. The record is from RNAcentral.
GACGAACGCUGGCGGCGUGCUUAACACAUGCAAGUCGAACGGAAAGGCCCUGCUUUUGUGGGGUGCUCGAGUGGCGAACGGGUGAGUAACACGUGAGUAACCUGCCCUUGACUUUGGGAUAACUUCAGGAAACUGGGGCUAAUACCGGAUAGGAGCUCCUGCUGCAUGGUGGGGGUUGGAAAGUUUCGGCGGUUGGGGAUGGACUCGCGGCUUAUCAGCUUGUUGGUGGGGUAGUGGCUUACCAAGGCUUUGACGGGUAGCCGGCCUGAGAGGGUGACCGGCCACAUUGGGACUGAGAUACGGCCCAGACUCCUACGGGAGGCAGCAGUGGGGAAUAUGGCACAAUGGGCGGAAGCCUGAUGCAGCAACGCCGGGUGCGGGAUGACGGCCUUCGGGUUGUAAACCGCUUUCGCCUGUGACGAAGCGUGAGUGACGGUAAUGGGUAAAGAAGCACCGGCUAACUACGUG